This 257-nucleotide ribosomal RNA is filed under the name uncultured bacterium. Its description in RNAcentral is "partial 16S ribosomal RNA". It matches the Rfam family "Bacterial small subunit ribosomal RNA", at positions 524 to 776 of the family's 1533-position model. The record is from RNAcentral.
UACAGAGGGUGCAAGCGUUAAUCGGAAUUACUGGGCGUAAAGCGUGCGUAGACGGUCAUGUAAGUCGGGUGUGAAAGCCCCCGGGCUCAACCUGGGGAAUUGCAUUCGAGACUGCAUGGCUAGGAUGCGGAAGAGGGAAGCGGAAUUUCCGGUGUAGCGGUGAAAUGCGUAGAUAUCGGGGAGGAACACCGGUGGCGAAGGCGGUUCUCUGGGAAUAUCCUGACGCUGAGGAGCGAAAGUGGUGGGGAGCGAACAGG